Molecule: ribosomal RNA, 301 nt
Filed under: uncultured bacterium
Lineage: Bacteria
Description: partial 16S ribosomal RNA
Rfam family: Bacterial small subunit ribosomal RNA
Source: RNAcentral
CAGCAGCCGCGGGAACACGUAGGGUGCAAGCGUUGUCCGGAAUUAUUGGGCGUAAAGAGCUCGUAGGCGGUUUGUCGCGUCUGCUGUGAAAACUGGAGGCUCAACCUCCAGCCUGCAGUGGGUACGGGCAGACUAGAGUGCGGUAGGGGAGAUUGGAAUUCCUGGUGUAGCGGUGGAAUGCGCAGAUAUCAGGAGGAACACCGAUGGCGAAGGCAGAUCUCUGGGCCGUAACUGACGCUGAGGAGCGAAAGCGUGGGGAGCGAACAGGAUUAGAUACCCCUGUAGUCCCUGUCUCUUAUAC